Molecule: ribosomal RNA, 1343 nt
Filed under: uncultured bacterium
Lineage: Bacteria
Description: 16S ribosomal RNA
Rfam family: Bacterial small subunit ribosomal RNA
Source: RNAcentral
GACGAACGCCGGCGGCGUGCUUAACACAUGCAAGUCGAACGGAAAGGCCCUGCUUUUGUGGGGUGCUCGAGUGGCGAACGGGUGAGUAACACGUGAGUAACCUGCCCUUGACUUUGGGAUAACUUCAGGAAACUGGGGCUAAUACCGGAUAGGAGCUCCUGCUGCAUGGUGGGGGUUGGAAAGUUUCGGCGGUUGGGGAUAGACUCGCGGCUUAUCAGCUUGUUGGUGGGGUAGUGGCUUACCAAGGCUUUGACGGGUAGCCGGCCUGAGAGGGUGACCGGCCACAUUGGGACUGAGAUACGGCCCAGACUCCUACGGGAGGCAGCAGUGGGGAAUAUUGCACAAUGGGCGGAAGCCUGAUGCAGCAACGCCGCGUGCGGGAUGACGGCCCUCGGGUUGUAAACCGCUUUCGCCUGUGACGAAGCGUGAGUGACGGUAAUGGGUAAAGAAGCACCGGCUAACUACGUGCCAGCAGCCGCGGUGAUACGUAGGGUGCGAGCGUUGUCCGGAUUUAUUGGGCGUAAAGGGCUCGUAGGUGGUUGAUCGCGUCGGAAGUGUAAUCUUGGGGCUUAACCCUGAGCGUGCUUUCGAUACGGGUUGACUUGAGGAAGGUAGGGGAGAAUGGAAUUCCUGGUGGAGCGGUGGAAUGCGCAGAUAUCAGGAGGAACACCAGUGGCGAAGGCGGUUCUCUGGGCCUUUCCUGACGCUGAGGAGCGAAAGCGUGGGGAGCGAACAGGCUUAGAUACCCUGGUAGUCCACGCUGUAAACGGUGGGUACUAGGUGUGGGGUCCAUUCCACGGGUUCCGUGCCGUAGCUAACGCUUUAAGUACCCCGCCUGGGGAGUACGGCCGCAAGGCUAAAACUCAAAGGAAUUGACGGGGCCCCGCACAAGCGGCGGAGCAUGCGGAUUAAUUCGAUGCAACGCGUAGAACCUUACCUGGGUUUGACAUGGAUCGGGAGCGCUCAGAGAUGGGUGUGCCUCUUUUGGGGUCGGUUCACAGGUGGUGCAUGGCUGUCGUCAGCUCGUGUCGUGAGAUGUUGGGUUAAGUCCCGCAACGAGCGCAACCCUUGUUCACUGUUGCCAGCACGUUAUGGUGGGGACUCAGUGGAGACCGCCGGGGUCAACUCGGAGGAAGGUGGGGAUGACGUCAAGUCAUCAUGCCCCUUAUGUCCAGGGCUUCACGCAUGCUACAAUGGCUGGUACAGAGAGUGGCGAGCCUGUGAGGGUGAGCGAAUCUCGGAAAGCCGGUCUCAGUUCGGAUUGGGGUCUGCAACUCGACCUCAUGAAGUCGGAGUCGCUAGUAAUCGCAGAUCAGCAACGCUGCGGUGAAUACGUUCCCGGG